RNAcentral lists this ribosomal RNA (253 nucleotides) under uncultured bacterium. RNAcentral describes it as "partial 16S ribosomal RNA". It matches the Rfam family "Bacterial small subunit ribosomal RNA", at positions 524 to 776 of the family's 1533-position model. The record is from RNAcentral.
UACGAAGGGGGCUAGCGUUGCUCGGAAUCACUGGGCGUAAAGCGCACGUAGGCGGCUUUCUAAGUCAGGGGUGAAAUCCUGGAGCUCAACUCCAGAACUGCCUUUGAUACUGGGAAGCUCGAGUCCGGGAGAGGUGAGUGGAACUCCGAGUGUAGAGGUGAAAUUCGUAGAUAUUCGGAAGAACACCAGUGGCGAAGGCGGCUCACUGGCCCGGUACUGACGCUGAGGUGCGAAAGCGUGGGGAGCAAACAGG